Neomonachus schauinslandi (Hawaiian monk seal) is the source of this 158-nucleotide long non-coding RNA. RefSeq lists it as uncharacterized. The record is from RefSeq and is a predicted model, not a curated record. The transcript is spliced from 3 exons. NCBI's taxonomy places the organism in Eukaryota, Metazoa, Chordata, Mammalia, Carnivora, Phocidae.
CCCAUGACUGUCCACUCUCCAACCAACGUGGCAUAAAAGCACACAAGUCUAACUGCUCCUUCCGGUCUUUGUUUCCUUAUGAAGUCUCCCGUGUCAGUUUAAUUUGCAGGCCCCCAAAGACGAAACAGAAGAGUGUAGAGGGAAGAGGACAUCAGGAC